CCUACGAGAGGCAGCAGUGGGGAAUCUUGCGCAAUGGGCGAAAGCCUGACGCAGCCAUGCCGCGUGUAUGAUGAAGGUCUUAGGAUUGUAAAAUACUUUCACCGGUGAAGAUAAUGACUGUAGCCGGAGAAGAAGCCCCGGCUAACUUCGUGCCAGCAGCCGCGGUAAUACGAAGGGGGCUAGCGUUGCUCGGAAUUACUGGGCGUAAAGGGAGCGUAGGCGGACAUUUAAGUCAGGGGUGAAAUCCCAGAGCUCAACUCUGGAACUGCCUUUGAUACUGGGUGUCUUGAGUGUGAUAGAGGUAUGUGGAACUCCGAGUGUAGAGGUGAAAUUCGUAGAUAUUCGGAAGAACACCAGUGGCGAAGGCGACAUACUGGAUCAUUACUGACGCUGAGGCUCGAAAGCGUGGGGAGCAAACAGGAUUAGAUACCCUGGUAGUCCACGCCGUAAACGAUGAUUGCUAGUUGUCGGGAUGUUUACAUCUCGGUGACGCAGCUAACGCAUUAAGCAAUCCGCCUGGGGAGUACGGUCGCAAGAUUAAAACUACAAAGGAAAUUGACGG
This 562-nucleotide ribosomal RNA is filed under the name uncultured bacterium. Its description in RNAcentral is "bacterial SSU rRNA". It matches the Rfam family "Bacterial small subunit ribosomal RNA", at positions 338 to 916 of the family's 1533-position model. The record is from RNAcentral.